RNAcentral lists this ribosomal RNA (751 nucleotides) under uncultured bacterium. RNAcentral's name for it is "bacterial SSU rRNA". It matches the Rfam family "Bacterial small subunit ribosomal RNA", at positions 75 to 827 of the family's 1533-position model. The record is from RNAcentral.
UUUCUUCGGAGAAGAGACCGGCGCACGGGUGCGUAACGCGUGUGCGAUCUACCUUUUACAGAGGGAUAGCCCAGAGAAAUUUGGAUUAAUACCUCAUAGUAUAGCUCUACCGCAUGGUAGUACUAUUAAAGUCACAACGGUAAAAGAUGAGCAUGCGUCCCAUUAGCUGGUUGGUAAGGUAACGGCUUACCAAGGCUACGAUGGGUAGGGGUCCUGAGAGGGAGAUCCCCCACACUGGUACUGAGACACGGACCAGACUCCUACGGGAGGCAGCAGUGAGGAAUAUUGGACAAUGGGCGCAAGCCUGAUCCAGCCAUGCCGCGUGCAGGAUGACGGUCCUAUGGAUUGUAAACUGCUUUUAUACGAGAAGAAACACUGCUUCGUGAAGCAGCUUGACGGUAUCGUAAGAAUAAGGAUCGGCUAACUCCGUGCCAGCAGCCGCGGUAAUACGGAGGAUCCAAGCGUUAUCCGGAAUCAUUGGGUUUAAAGGGUCCGUAGGCGGUUUAAUAAGUCAGUGGUGAAAGCCCAUCGCUCAACGGUGGAACGGCCAUUGAUACUGUUAAACUUGAAUUAUUAGGAAGUAACUAGAAUAUGUAGUGUAGCGGUGAAAUGCUUAGAGAUUACAUGGAAUACCAAUUGCGAAGGCAGGUUACUACUAAUGGAUUGACGCUGAUGGACGAAAGCGUGGGUAGCGAACAGGAUUAGAUACCCUGGUAGUCCACGCCGUAAACGAUGGAUACUAGCUGUUGGA